AGCUUUGUGCAGUGGCAGAAUCAUAGCCAGUGAGGUUUAUCUGAGGUGCAAUUAUUUCUAAUUGAGAAAGAUUUCUAACUUA
This 82-nucleotide small nuclear RNA is filed under the name Fukomys damarensis (Damara mole-rat). RNAcentral describes it as "U4 spliceosomal RNA (ENSFDAG00000020481.1)". It matches the Rfam family "U4 spliceosomal RNA", at positions 1 to 82 of the family's 138-position model. Rfam says of the family: U4 small nuclear RNA (U4 snRNA) is a component of the major U2-dependent spliceosome. Lineage: Eukaryota; Metazoa; Chordata; Mammalia; Rodentia; Bathyergidae. The record is from RNAcentral.